Molecule: long non-coding RNA, 1670 nt
Organism: Amphiprion ocellaris (clown anemonefish)
Lineage: Eukaryota; Metazoa; Chordata; Actinopteri; Pomacentridae
Exons: 2
Source: RefSeq, a predicted model, not a curated record
UUAGGAGAUGAUUAUAGUGCUCACAUUAUUGUCCACACAUUAUCACACACCCACAUGAGGAACUGGUGCAAACAGUUCCUCCUGCAGACACACGCACACACUCACUCACUCAAGAGUGUGGGACCGCCCCACCCUCUACAUUCUUGUACUCUAUGCUUUGCUAUAAAUAAAGGGACAAGGAACUAUUCAGCGCGUCUCUGCCUCAGAACGUGAGCUGAGCAGGGUGCCCUUGUACAAGAAAUCUCUUUGUCUGUGUUUGAUCUGUUUCUCUCCUCUCAGUUCUGUGAUCCAGGUUGGAGUCAGCCCGCUGGAGGCGGUAAUCCUCUGACAUAAUUCUUGGUCCUUCGAGCCGGAUGGGAAGCCUGAGAUCCCGCUGAGUGGUUAACCUGAAGUCUGUCGACAGCCAGUCACCCAGGGUGUCUGAAAAGACCCAGGACGUGAAUUCGGACCUGGGCCAGGGUUAGAACCAACCCUCACGGUGAUUCUCUGGUUUUCCAUCCGAACUACAGAUCACCAGAACGGGAAAAGUGAAGCCAGGAGACUGGGUCCUAAUCAAGGUGUUCCAGCGACGUAGUUGGAGCGCCCCCAAGUGGGAAGGCCCAUAUCAAGUAUUGUUGACCACACCAACAGCCAUAAAAAUAGCAGAACGACCAUCGUGGAUUCAUCUGACCCACUGCAAGUUAGUAACCGAGGCAGUCAAAGAGUUGCAUAGUGACAGAGACUAGAGUUUCCUAUAGGGCAGUCUACUGGACAGUAUGCAGGACUAGCCUGAUGCGUCUGGGGACACAGACUGAUUAGUCUGGCACUAUAGGCUAGUGAAGAAAUCAACGCGGAUGCCUUGGCAGGCCAAACCGCCCUAUGUAAUCUCUGCAGGUGACUGACCUACAGGUUAUUCAACAUGAGGUCUGUUCGAUCUAAAACUGGCAUUGUGGCUCUUAUUGCAACAUUGACUAUUCUGCUACUCUUAUUAACAGUACUAGAGACUGAAUAUGAACGACAGCGAAGAACACAUCAACACUCCGGUGACUCAACAUGGGAAGAAAACACAUGGUAUCGUGCUAUGAACUGGACUGCAUACAGCAGUAAUCUAUACUUAUUUUGCUGUGUGCUAUUUCUACUUGCAUUAUUCCAUGUAUUCGUACUUGCAUUACCAGACUUGUUGAUUUCAGAGUCUCUGCAGCUCUCGUCCGUUACGAUCCAUUGCCUCACAAAGACACACCUGGAGGUGUAGACUCGUCAACGGAUUCUGAGGGCUCUGAGGCAGAAGACUCCGUUUAGAUGAAUGUUUAAGUCAUGCAUAUCCUCUAUGACGUGUUAACAGAAAACAGAAAUGAGUUGUUAAUUACUGAUAUCAUGGAAAUGUAUGUCUUAUCCUACCUGUACAUUAUUGUAAAUAUCCAUGCAUUAAUGUGAUCAACAGGAGGGAAUGUUAGGAGAUGAUUAUAGUGCUCACAUUAUUGUCCACACAUUAUCACACACCCACAUGAGGAACUGGUGCAAACAGUUCCUCCUGCAGACACACGCACACACUCACUCACUCAAGAGUGUGGGACCGCCCCACCCUCUACAUUCUUGUACUCUAUGCUUUGCUAUAAAUAAAGGGACAAGGAACUAUUCAGCGCGUCUCUGCCUCAGAACGUGAGCUGAGCAGGGUGCCCUUGUACAAGAAA